GUAUGCAGAUGCCAGCUUUUUGCAAGUCAGUGUUCAAAAUCUCAGAAAAUGUGACGUAAAUUCAACUUUGGGGGUCAACUUCCAAGAUCCCAAGAUGCUUCAGGGUGCAGGUCCCGCUGGAGCUGAUUCAGUAAACAGAGUAACACAAAACUGCAGCUAACUUACCUGACGAGGUGGAACACCAGCACCAGGCUGUCAGCGAGUCUUUGGCUGGACCUCACGAUGAAAACGUACAGGUAAACGGCGAUGGCCACAGUCCAGAAAAAAGAGCUGGUGUUGGCGAAAGAGGAGAUCGCUCCUUGAGCGACGCACUCAGCCGAGUCUGAGCGGAAGACGCUCCACACUCCGACGGCGUAGGAGACGGCGGAGAGCCAGUCAGACACCGAGAGAUUUCCAGAUUCUUGGAGGAGCGCUGCAGUCCUCCAUAACAACUGUGUCAUAUAGAGAUGUGUGCCGUCUCCUGGCCUACAUUUACUAUUGCCAUUUGUUACAGCCACAAACAGCAGAAGCAGCAGAGGCUCCGGGGUGAUUCCUGACAUAUUCACCAUUUUCACCAAGAGCUCAGAAACCCCGAGAAAUCUGCAGCUUAAUGAGUCAGGUGUAAGCAGGAGAAAAUGGACUCAUAGUCAGUGGUAGAAGAAUGAAGAAUUAACAUUAUUUUUGCUGGUGAUGACCUUCAUUUAUAUUGCCUUACAUUUGGUUUCUUUUUUUGUCAGAUUUUAUAAGUAAUUUUAAUUACAGUA
Archocentrus centrarchus (flier cichlid) is the source of this 743-nucleotide long non-coding RNA. RefSeq lists it as uncharacterized. Lineage: Eukaryota; Metazoa; Chordata; Actinopteri; Cichliformes; Cichlidae. The record is from RefSeq and is a predicted model, not a curated record. The transcript has 3 exons.